Molecule: long non-coding RNA, 3256 nt
Organism: Capsicum annuum
Lineage: Eukaryota; Viridiplantae; Streptophyta; Magnoliopsida; Solanales; Solanaceae
Exons: 5
Source: RefSeq, a predicted model, not a curated record
UUUUGUUCAAUUAUUUUCUAAUUUCUCAACAUAUAGAUAAGUGUAGGGUUCCAGAAAGUUUGUUAUGCAUGAAUGUAGUUGUAAUAUUUCUACUAUAUAAGGAUGAACAAAUAGAUUAUCGAAUCUAUUUUUUGUAUCUGUUUCCCUAUUUUAUAAUAGAUUUUCUUCUUCUUAUUUUGUUUUUAUCUGUUUCACGUUGAUUUCAUUUAGGUUUUUUUAUAGUCGCUUGAGAGCAACGAUUCUGUUGCCCCAAAGGUUUAAUAUAUGCUUUUUUCCUACAUCUGUUUGAGAAAAUUCCUCAAAAAAUCAGGUUAUGGCAGGACACACAAAAUAGGGUUUACUUAAUGAAAGAGCUCGAUAGAAUUACUGUUCAAGAUAAGAAGUUAUUGAAGUUGACGCCUGAUGAUCAUUUGAAUUUGGAGGGAUUUGAAUUAAAUCUUUUCUCAAAGGCAGACAAAUAAGAUAUAGCUGGACAAGUAGACUUGUAAGAGUCAUUUAAACUGCACCAUAUGAUGUUUGUUUAUAUUUAAACUUUUCUUAAUCGAAAUAAACUAUGAAUUGUAUUUGUAAAGAAAACACUCUGUCUGUUCUAUCUGGUCUAUCCUCGUGCCACAUAAUGUAUAUAUUGGAGAUCCUUGAACAGUUCGGUGAACUCCAGCGUGAUGUGAGUUUUCAUCAUACCAUAAUAAUAUCAAUAUAUUUUUUUCACUUGGCCGUUCGUCCUAUUUUUUUCUUCUUUUGGGUGGGAGUUGGGGUUGGAGGUGGGUACAGGGUUUAACAAUGCAAAUACAAUUUUUUCCCGCAUCAUUGUGGGUCUUGUAAGUUUGAAUAAAUAUGUCUUUAUGUAUGGGUAGUCUCUAUUUACCCUAUGUGUGUUUUUCUCGUCUGUUUAACUUGUUUGUUGUUUCCAUCUGUGACGUUGUUCCUUGACCUUCUUAUUUAUCAAUAGCUCAAGCAAAAACAUAAGUAUACAGUUUGGAAGGCAGCAAAUAUAAGGAAAGCUAUAAAACAAAGACGAAAGCCUAUUCCAGUCCCUCCUGGUGGUGGUGAUGAUUUUUCAUUAUCGGGCCUUCCUGGUGGUGAAAGUAUUUGAUUUCUUAGUCAUUUGGAUAAUUGAUCUCCUGUUGAGAUUAAUAUAUUCUUUAACCCUAUUUUUAAUUGUGCCAAGUCUCAGGCAUGAAUGUCUUAUAUCUAAUUUUUCACACUCUCCCUUUUUCUCUGUAAUCCCUAGAUAAUUAGUUGAUAGUUCUGAUGAGAUUGUCAUUCCAAUUCCCUAUUUAUGUCAACUUAUCCAGUUGUAUUCUUAGAAAAUAUGUUAUUAAGAAUGUUAAGCUUCACAGCACUGUGAGGAAGUAUGGAAUGUCUUUGUCACAUCGACAUUUAUGGUGUUCUCUUCCACUUUGUUAACGUCAGGAGGAAUGCUUGCAGAGACUACAAUACCAUAUAGAUGUUGCAUAUGAUAGUUUAGUUCCUGAACAUCAGGUAUUCUCUAUUUGAAAAUGUCUUGUCCAUGUACUUAUGGACUUAAGACCAAACAUUUUAAAGGAUUUUAAACAUUCCAUUAAGAUUGAAUUUACAUUCUCACUGUUCACCUUUCACUGUCUCUCGCUCCCUCUCUUUUACCAAAAGAAAGCUUUACGUGCAUUGUGGAAAGUUGUCUUCCCUGUGGAAGAACUCCAUGGUUUAAUAUCUGAGCAAUGGAAGGAAAUGGGUUGGCAAGGAAAGGAUCCAUCUAAUGACCUUAGGUACAUCAGCAUCUCUCAUUCCUUUCCUUCUCAAGAAUUCAGAAACAAGAAACCACUGAUGGUUAAGCUUAUCGAUAUUUUGCGUUCUUUUGCCCUUUCUGGUCCUUCCACUGUUGGUUCACCACUGACAUGUUCUGGUUGGUUUCAAUAGGGGUUCCGAAUUCAUAUCACUGGAGAACUUGUUAUAUUUUGCGAGAAAUUUUCUGGUACAUCCUCUUUCUGACUUCUCUUUAUGAAGAGGUGACAUAGUGAACUAAAAACCUUUUAUGCCUAUAAUUAGAAGUUAUUCUAAGCAUUAACAAGUGCUAUUUUUUAAUAAUCAUUGUUUCUUCUUAAAAUUAAAUGGGUCUUAAUGAUUAUCUCCGAAAUGGUGGUUAUUAGUCGGAUGUUUGUGUUAAUAAAUUGAUUCAAUUGACAAAGUAUGAUUCUAUUUGAUUCCUCAACCUUUAAAAAUAUAUUUGUAGUUGAGAGGGUGUUGGUUGAUGGGCAUCUUAAAGUAUGGUUCAAGUGUUCUCCAAUUCCUUGCUAUUGUCAAACAGAAAAGUUUAGCAUACACCCUUUUGUUUUCUUUGAGAUAGCAUAACAUCUAAAAUUUCUACUAUCUAGAAUAGGGGGUGGAGGCACAAUCAAGGGUAAAGCAGUAAUUUCACACUAAUAAAAAUUUUCUCUUUCCACACAAUCCACUUCUUUGGAUAUAAUCCGCCAGACAGAAAAAAGCUCAAGUUUAUUUUUACUUGUCUGUUCUUUGAUCUCAUCUUCUUGUGUUGCGGAUGCCAGGUUAGCUAUUAUCUCAUUUCCUCCUAAAUUUCUUUCAUCUUUUUCCUAUUUUCUAAUUUUAUGACUUAUUCUAACUUUCCCUCUUAAUGUUCUAGGGUGUAUUUUCUUCCUUAUUUCUCUUUAUUCACUUUAAUUUAUUGAUAUUUAUUUUGAUCAAAUCAAACUUUCAGAGACUAUAUCUUCAGUUGGAACUUCAUCUUCUCCAUUGGGUGUUUCAAUGUUAGGUAAGGUUAAUAACCCUGAUUCAGAAAGCAUGACUAUAAUAAAUGAACAAUCGCCAAAAGUAUCAUGGUGAAUAUUAAAUAAUGACAUUCCAAAGUGAUUUAUCAUAUGUCAAUUGUUGAAAGUUGUCGAAGAAGAAAAACUCUAGAAUGUACUACCAACAAGAAGUUUGUAAUGACGUGUACGACACAAAGAUUACUGCCAGAAUGUGCUACCAACUUCAAGUUUGUAAUGAUGUGGGGACGCCAUUAAGAUUAUUGCCAUUGAGUCGUGAAAAUUACAAUGUCUAAUUCAGAAAUUCAAGAUUAGAAAAAAGAAGUGUCUUUCAUGUAAAUUUAUAUCAUUUUUAUUUAUUCUGAGCAAUAUGUCUUGAGAUACCCGUUGGACUUAUUAACAGUUCCAUAAUGCUUAACUAUAUCAGAAUAUUAUUUAGAGUGGCAAAACACUAGCCGCUAUAAAUUGUCAAUGUUCGGGCCUGUGCUACGCACGGGCUAUACUUAUCUAGUUUGAUA